RNAcentral lists this ribosomal RNA (301 nucleotides) under uncultured Methanocalculus sp. Its description in RNAcentral is "bacterial SSU rRNA". It matches the Rfam family "Bacterial small subunit ribosomal RNA", at positions 495 to 795 of the family's 1533-position model. The record is from RNAcentral. Lineage: Archaea; Methanobacteriati; Methanobacteriota; Methanomicrobia; Methanomicrobiales; Methanocalculaceae.
UUGUAACACAGUGCAAAAGGCCUGUGUAUGACGUGGGGUGAGAGGUUUAUCCGGAGUGACGGGGAGGAAAGCGUGCGCAGGCGGUUUUGUAAUACAGGCGUGAAAUCCCCGGGCUUAACCUGGGAACUGCGUUUGUGACUGCAAGACUAGAGGACGGCAGAGGGGGGUGGAAUUCCACGUGUAGCAGUGAAAUGCGUAGAGAUGUGGAGGAACACCAAUGGCGAAGGCAGCCCCCUGGGUCGAUACUGACGCUCAUGCACGAAAGCGUGGGUAGCAAACAGGAUUAGAUACCCUUGUAGUC